RNAcentral lists this transfer-messenger RNA (370 nucleotides) under Nocardioidaceae. RNAcentral's name for it is "Nocardioides sp012272695 Standard tmRNA". It matches the Rfam family "transfer-messenger RNA". From Rfam's summary of the family: Bacterial tmRNA, also known as 10Sa RNA or SsrA, is named for its dual tRNA and mRNA-like properties. RNAcentral also lists the same sequence under 1 other name. The record is from RNAcentral. Lineage: Bacteria; Bacillati; Actinomycetota; Actinomycetes; Propionibacteriales.
GGGGCUGAUCGGUUUCGACUUGGGACGUUUGUUCCAGGGGAAGCGGGUCGAGAAGCCAGCGUCAUCUCGUUAACGUUCGCUGGAAAACCAUAGUUGCCGACUCUAAGCGCAACGACUUCGCUCUCGCUGCCUGAGCAGUGAUCGAAGGGUCAGACCGGGCAUCCGCCUUCGUCCCGGACCCUGGCCUCAUUCAGAAGGCUUGCUGAUCAAUUCCUGUCAGGAGGAUUGAUCGGGACUUUUUCCUGACUGAGCCUGUCGGUGACGUGUCCGUGCGAGCACCGGGGCCGAGAAAACGCCAGCACUGACUGCACCCGGAGAAGACCUGGUUCGGCGCUCGAGGACGCGGGUUCGAUUCCCGCCAGCUCCACAC